This 67-nucleotide transfer RNA is filed under the name Trigonopterus tounensis. Its description in RNAcentral is "tRNA-Ser". Lineage: Eukaryota; Metazoa; Arthropoda; Insecta; Coleoptera; Curculionidae. The record is from RNAcentral.
GGCUAAUGAGCUUGUUUUAAGCAUGUGCCUUGAAAGUACAAGAAAGACUUUAGUACUCUAUUAGCUU